This is a long non-coding RNA of Pygocentrus nattereri (red-bellied piranha), 493 nucleotides long. RefSeq lists it as uncharacterized. Lineage: Eukaryota; Metazoa; Chordata; Actinopteri; Characiformes; Serrasalmidae. The record is from RefSeq and is a predicted model, not a curated record. The transcript has 3 exons.
UAGUUCCUGUAUUCUCUACAGAUUCUUUCUUCAGUGUUGUUCUUACUCUGUCCUGCAGAUGGUGCUGUGAUUCUGGACAGUCCUGUUCAUCCUGUGACUGAGGGAGAUCCUCUGACUCUGCGCUGUUUAUAUCGUGACCCAAAGCCCUCAAACCUCACAGCUGAGUUCUAUAAAGAUGGAUCACUCCUCCAGACUCAGACUACAGGAGAGAUGACCAUCCGUACUGUCUCAAAGUCAGAUGAAGGUCUCUACCACUGUAAACACCCAGAGAAAGGAGAGUCUCCACAGAGCUGGAUCUCAGUCAGAGGUGAAUCUAAAUCAGGAGCUUCAUUCUCAGUGUUCAGUCUGCUCAGUAGUUUAAAGGCAGCAUCUCCAUAUCUGCUGGUGUCCAUUGUGCUGAUGGUCAAAUGCUACAGAGCUCGAGCUAAACCUGAUGAGCUGAACUCAAUGUGACCCUUAACAGAAGCUGGAGCUGGAGAAAGUUUCUUUGGUC